CAUAGCGACUAUCGUGGCAUAUCAAUAAGCGGAGGAAAAGAAACUAACUAAGGAUUCCCUUAGUAACGGCGAGUGAAGCGGGAAGAGGCUCAAAUUUGAAAUCUUCAAGGUUUUACCUUGACGAAUUGUAGUUUAAAGAAGUGUUUUCUGUUGGAGUUUUGGUAAAAGUUCUUUGGAAUAGGACAUCAUAGAGGGUGAGAAUCCCGUAUUUGACCAUUAUUUCCAGCUGUGUGAUACACUUUCAAAGAGUCGGAUUGUUUGGGAAUGCAGUCCAAAAUGGGUGGUAAAUUUCAUCUAAAGCUAAAUAUUGGCGAGAGACCGAUAGCGAACAAGUACCGUGAGGGAAAGAUGAAAAGAACUUUGAAAAGAGAGUUAAACAGUACGUGAAAUUGUCAAAAGGGAAGCGUUUGACACCAGUGUUGUUUUUCCGAAAAUCAAUUACGAAUGUUUUGUUUUUGAGGAGUUAUGACUUCAUCGGCUUGCUCCUUUCUUUAUGAAACUUUCUUAAUGCACUUUUCGGUUAACAAGUCAACAUCAAUUUCUUUUGUUGUAAAAAGGUCAUUGGAAGGUGGCUUUCUUUUCGGAGAAAGUGUUUAUAGCCUUUGACUCCUGCAAUCGGAGAGACUGAGGUCUGCAGCGUAGAUCCUUCUUUGGAUUAGAUUCAUUUGUGCUAAGUUAUAGCUUUUUAUAGACAACUUGUUGACUAUAUUUAGUCUUGUAGCUUACUCGCUUAUGCUAUUUUACCUACGCUUAGGAUGUUGAUAGUCACAGCGUGUAC
This 778-nucleotide ribosomal RNA is filed under the name uncultured Neocallimastigales. RNAcentral's name for it is "partial large subunit ribosomal RNA". It matches the Rfam family "Eukaryotic large subunit ribosomal RNA", at positions 22 to 642 of the family's 3401-position model. Lineage: Eukaryota; Fungi; Neocallimastigomycota; Neocallimastigomycetes; Neocallimastigales. The record is from RNAcentral.